Molecule: ribosomal RNA, 1087 nt
Filed under: Escherichia coli
Lineage: Bacteria; Pseudomonadati; Pseudomonadota; Gammaproteobacteria; Enterobacterales; Enterobacteriaceae
Description: partial 23S ribosomal RNA
Rfam family: Bacterial large subunit ribosomal RNA
Source: RNAcentral
GGGACACGUGGUAUCCUGUCUGAAUAUGGGGGGACCAUCCUCCAAGGCUAAAUACUCCUGACUGACCGAUAGUGAACCAGUACCGUGAGGGAAAGGCGAAAAGAACCCCGGCGAGGGGAGUGAAAAAGAACCUGAAACCGUGUACGUACAAGCAGUGGGAGCACGCUUAGGCGUGUGACUGCGUACCUUUUGUAUAAUGGGUCAGCGACUUAUAUUCUGUAGCAAGGUUAACCGAAUAGGGGAGCCGAAGGGAAACCGAGUCUUAACUGGGCGUUAAGUUGCAGGGUAUAGACCCGAAACCCGGUGAUCUAGCCAUGGGCAGGUUGAAGGUUGGGUAACACUAACUGGAGGACCGAACCGACUAAUGUUGAAAAAUUAGCGGAUGACUUGUGGCUGGGGGUGAAAGGCCAAUCAAACCGGGAGAUAGCUGGUUCUCCCCGAAAGCUAUUUAGGUAGCGCCUCGUGAAUUCAUCUCCGGGGGUAGAGCACUGUUUCGGCAAGGGGGUCAUCCCGACUUACCAACCCGAUGCAAACUGCGAAUACCGGAGAAUGUUAUCACGGGAGACACACGGCGGGUGCUAACGUCCGUCGUGAAGAGGGAAACAACCCAGACCGCCAGCUAAGGUCCCAAAGUCAUGGUUAAGUGGGAAACGAUGUGGGAAGGCCCAGACAGCCAGGAUGUUGGCUUAGAAGCAGCCAUCAUUUAAAGAAAGCGUAAUAGCUCACUGGUCGAGUCGGCCUGCGCGGAAGAUGUAACGGGGCUAAACCAUGCACCGAAGCUGCGGCAGCGACGCUUAUGCGUUGUUGGGUAGGGGAGCGUUCUGUAAGCCUGCGAAGGUGUGCUGUGAGGCAUGCUGGAGGUAUCAGAAGUGCGAAUGCUGACAUAAGUAACGAUAAAGCGGGUGAAAAGCCCGCUCGCCGGAAGACCAAGGGUUCCUGUCCAACGUUAAUCGGGGCAGGGUGAGUCGACCCCUAAGGCGAGGCCGAAAGGCGUAGUCGAUGGGAAACAGGUUAAUAUUCCUGUACUUGGUGUUACUGCGAAGGGGGGACGGAGAAGGCUAUGUUGGCCGGGCGACGGUUGUCCCGG